RNAcentral lists this ribosomal RNA (428 nucleotides) under Escherichia coli. RNAcentral's name for it is "bacterial SSU rRNA". It matches the Rfam family "Bacterial small subunit ribosomal RNA", at positions 292 to 712 of the family's 1533-position model. Lineage: Bacteria; Pseudomonadati; Pseudomonadota; Gammaproteobacteria; Enterobacterales; Enterobacteriaceae. RNAcentral also lists the same sequence under 1 other name. The record is from RNAcentral.
CUGAGAGGAUGACCAGCCACACUGGAACUGAGACACGGUCCAGACUCCUACGGGAGGCAGCAGUGGGGAAUAUUGCACAAUGGGCGCAAGCCUGAUGCAGCCAUGCCGCGUGUAUGAAGAAGGCCUUCGGGUUGUAAAGUACUUUCAGCGGGGAGGAAGGGAGUAAAGUUAAUACCUUUGCUCAUUGACGUUACCCGCAGAAGAAGCACCGGCUAACUCCGUGCCAGCAGCCGCGGUAAUACGGAGGGUGCAAGCGUUAAUCGGAAUUACUGGGCGUAAAGCGCACGCAGGCGGUUUGUUAAGUCAGAUGUGAAAUCCCCGGGCUCAACCUGGGAACUGCAUCUGAUACUGGCAAGCUUGAGUCUCGUAGAGGGGGGUAGAAUUCCAGGUGUAGCGGUGAAAUGCGUAGAGAUCUGGAGGAAUACCGG